This 882-nucleotide ribosomal RNA is filed under the name uncultured bacterium. Its description in RNAcentral is "bacterial SSU rRNA". It matches the Rfam family "Bacterial small subunit ribosomal RNA", at positions 12 to 892 of the family's 1533-position model. The record is from RNAcentral.
UUUGAUCCUGGCUCAGGAUGAACGCUAGCGGCAGGCUUAAUACAUGCAAGUCGAGGGGCAGCGCGGGUAGCAAUACCUGGCGGCGACCGGCAAACGGGUGCGGAACACGUACGCAACCUUCCCAAAACUGGGGAAUAGCCCUCCGAAAGGAGGAUUAAUACCCCGUAACACAAUUAAGAGGCAUCUCUUGAUUGUUAUAGCUCAGGCGGUUUUGGAUGGGCGUGCGGCUGAUUAGGUAGUUGGCGGGGUAACGGCCCACCAAGCCAUCGAUCAGUAACUGGUGUGAGAGCACGACCAGUCACACGGGCACUGAGACACGGGCCCGACUCCUACGGGAGGCAGCAGUAAGGAAUAUUGGUCAAUGGACGCAAGUCUGAACCAGCCAUGCCGCGUGAAGGAUGAAGGCCCUCUGGGUUGUAAACUUCUUUUAUCUGGGACGAAAAAAGGGGAUUCUUCCUCACUUGACGGUACCAGAGGAAUAAGCACCGGCUAACUCCGUGCCAGCAGCCGCGGUAAUACGGAGGGUGCAAGCGUUAUCCGGAUUCACUGGGUUUAAAGGGUGCGUAGGUGGGCAGGUAAGUCAGUGGUGAAAUCUUCGAGCUUAACUCGGAAACUGCCAUUGAUACUAUCUGUCUUGAAUAUCCUGGAGGUGAGCGGAAUAUGUCAUGUAGCGGUGAAAUGCUUAGAUAUGACAUAGAACACCAAUUGCGAAAGGCAGCUCACUACGGGAUGAUUGACGCUGAGGCACGAAAGCGUGGGGAUCAAACAGGAUUAGAUACCCUGGUAGUCCACGCCCUAAACGAUGGAUACUCGACAUAUGCGAUACACUGUAUGUGUCUGAGCGAAAGCAUUAAGUAUCCCACCUGGGAGUACGACCGCAAG